UACGUAGGGUCCGAGCGUUGUCCGGAAUUACUGGGCGUAAAGAGCUCGUAGGUGGUUUGUCGCGUUGUUCGUGAAAACUCACAGCUCAACUGUGGGCGUGCGGGCGAUACGGGCAGACUAGAGUACUGCAGGGGAGACUGGAAUUCCUGGUGUAGCGGUGAAAUGCGCAGAUAUCAGGAGGAACACCGGUGGCGAAGGCGGGCUCUGGGCCCGAUACUGACGCUGAGGACGAAAGCGUGGGGAGCAAACAGG
RNAcentral lists this ribosomal RNA (252 nucleotides) under uncultured bacterium. RNAcentral describes it as "partial 16S ribosomal RNA". It matches the Rfam family "Bacterial small subunit ribosomal RNA", at positions 524 to 776 of the family's 1533-position model. The record is from RNAcentral.